This 197-nucleotide unclassified non-coding RNA is filed under the name uncultured fungus. RNAcentral's name for it is "sequence contains ITS1". The record is from RNAcentral. Lineage: Eukaryota; Fungi.
UUGAUUUAUUUUGCUAUAAGCCACUCAGAUAAUGCCACAUAUAAAAACAAGAGUUUGGAGUCCUCCGGCGGGCGCCUGGAUCCGGGGCACGCAAAGGCGCCCGGGGCGAUCCCGCCGAAGCAACAGAUGGUAUGUUCACAGGGGUUUGGGAGUUUUUACACUCAGUAAUGAUCCCUCCGCUGGUUCACCAACGGAGA